RNAcentral lists this ribosomal RNA (434 nucleotides) under uncultured Clostridium sp. RNAcentral's name for it is "bacterial SSU rRNA". It matches the Rfam family "Bacterial small subunit ribosomal RNA", at positions 8 to 440 of the family's 1533-position model. The record is from RNAcentral. Lineage: Bacteria; Bacillati; Bacillota; Clostridia; Eubacteriales; Clostridiaceae.
AGAGUUUGAUCCUGGCUCAGGACGAACGCUGGCGGCGUGCCUAACACAUGCAAGUCGAGCGAUGAAGUUCCUUCGGGAAACGGAUUAGCGGCGGACGGGUGAGUAACACGUGGGUAACCUGCCUUAUAGUGGGGGAUAGCCUUUCGAAAGGAAGAUUAAUACCGCAUAAGAUUGUAGUAUCGCAUGAUAUAGCAAUUAAAGGAGCAAUCCGCUAUAAGAUGGACCCGCGUCGCAUUAGCUAGUUGGUGAGGUAAUGGCUCACCAAGGCGACGAUGCGUAGCCGACCUGAGAGGGUGAUCGGCCACAUUGGGACUGAGACACGGCCCAGACUCCUACGGGAGGCAGCAGUGGGGAAUAUUGCACAAUGGGCGAAAGCCUGAUGCAGCAACGCCGCGUGAGUGAUGACGGCCUUCGGGUUGUAAAACUCUGUCUUC